UUUUGGACAAUGGGGGCAACCCUGAUCCAGCCAUGCCGCGUGCGGGAAGAAGGCCUUCGGGUUGUAAACCGCUUUUAGCCGGGAAGAAAAGGUCACGGAUAACACCCGUGGUUUUUGACGGUACCGGCGGAAUCAGCACCGGCUAACUACGUGCCAGCAGCCGCGGUAAUACGUAGGGUGCGAGCGUUAAUCGGAAUUACUGGGCGUAAAGCGUGCGCAGGCGGUUCGUUGUGUCUGUGGUGAAAGCCCCGGGCUUAACCUGGGAAUGGCCAUGGAAACUGGCGAGCUGGAGUGCGGCAGAGGGGGGUGGAAUUCCGCGUGUAGCAGUGAAAUGCGUAGAGAUGCGGAGGAACACCGAUGGCGAAGGCAGCCCCCUGGGUCGACACUGACGCUCAGGCACGAAAGCGUGGGGAGCAAAC
RNAcentral lists this ribosomal RNA (419 nucleotides) under uncultured bacterium. RNAcentral's name for it is "bacterial SSU rRNA". It matches the Rfam family "Bacterial small subunit ribosomal RNA", at positions 362 to 773 of the family's 1533-position model. The record is from RNAcentral.